AGUCGUCCUGCGCGGAAGAUGUAACGGGGCUAAGCCAGUUACCGAAGCUGCGGAUUCACAGUUUACUGUGAGUGGUAGGAGAGCGUUCUGUAAGCCUGCGAAGGUGUCUUGUAAAGGAUGCUGGAGGUAUCAGAAGUGCGAAUGCUGACAUGAGUAGCGUUAAAGGGGGUGAAAAGCCCCCUCGCCGUAAGCGCAAGGUUUCCUACGCAACGUUCAUCGGCGUAGGGUGAGUCGGCCCCUAAGGCGAGGCAGAGAUGCGUAGCUGAUGGGAAACAGGUCAAUAUUCCUGUACCGAUCUGUAGUGCGAUGUGGGGACGGAGAAGGUUAGCUCAGCCGGGUGUUGGAUGUCCCGGUUCAAGCCUGUAGUCGUGCCUGGUAGGCAAAUCCGCCGGGCUUAGAUGAGGGGUGAUAACGAGUCUGCUUGCAGACGAAGUGAGUGAUACCCUGCUUCCAGGAAAAGCCACUAAGCUUCAGCUAUAGACGACCGUACCGCAAACCGACACUGGUGCGCGAGAUGAGUAUUCUAAGGCGCUUGAGAGAACUCUGGAGAAGGAACUCGGCAAAUUGACACCGUAACUUCGGAAGAAGGUGUGCCUUUAGUAGGUGAACCAUUUACUUGGGGAGCCCAAUGAGGCCGCAGAGAAUCGGUGGCUGCGACUGUUUAUUAAAAACACAGCACUCUGCAAACACGAAAGUGGACGUAUAGGGUGUGACGCCUGCCCGGUGCUGGAAGAUUAAAUGAUGGGGUGCAAGCUCUUGACUGAAGUCCCAGUAAACGGCGGCCGUAACUAUAACGGUCCUAAGGUAGCGAAAUUCCUUGUCGGGUAAGUUCCGACCUGCACGAAUGGCGUAACGAUGGCCACACUGUCUCCUCCUGAGACUCAGCGAAGUUGAAAUGUUUGUGAUGAUGCAAUCUCCCCGCGGAAAGACGGAAAGACCCCAUGAACCUUUACUGUAGCUUUACAUUGGACUUUGAACAGAUCUGUGUAGGAUAGGUGGGAGGCUUUGAAGCCAGGACGCUAGUUCUGGUGGAGCCAACGUUGAAAUACCACCCUGGUGUGUUUGAGGUUCUAACCUUGGCCCGUUAUCCGGGUUGGGGACAGUGUAUGGUGGGCAGUUUGACUGGGGCGGUCUCCUCCCAAAGUGUAACGGAGGAGUUCGAAGGUACGCUAGGCACGGUCGGAAAUCGUGCUGAUAGUG
Molecule: ribosomal RNA, 1200 nt
Filed under: wastewater metagenome
Description: bacterial LSU rRNA
Rfam family: Bacterial large subunit ribosomal RNA
Source: RNAcentral